This 465-nucleotide ribosomal RNA is filed under the name Vreelandella stevensii. Its description in RNAcentral is "partial 16S ribosomal RNA". It matches the Rfam family "Bacterial small subunit ribosomal RNA", at positions 338 to 795 of the family's 1533-position model. Lineage: Bacteria; Pseudomonadati; Pseudomonadota; Gammaproteobacteria; Oceanospirillales; Halomonadaceae. The record is from RNAcentral.
CCUACGGGUGGCUGCAGUGGGGAAUAUUGGACAAUGGGCGAAAGCCUGAUCCAGCCAUGCCGCGUGUGUGAAGAAGGCCUUCGGGUUGUAAAGCACUUUCAGUGGGGAAGAAAGCCUUGGGGCUAAUACCCUCGAGGAAGGACAUCACCCACAGAAGAAGCACCGGCUAACUCCGUGCCAGCAGCCGCGGUAAUACGGAGGGUGCGAGCGUUAAUCGGAAUUACUGGGCGUAAAGCGCGCGUAGGCGGUCUGAUAAGCCGGUUGUGAAAGCCCCGGGCUCAACCUGGGAACGGCAUCCGGAACUGUCAGGCUAGAGUGCAGGAGAGGAAGGUAGAAUUCCCGGGGGAGCGGUGAAAUGCGUAGGGAUCGGGAGGAAUACCAGUGGCGAAGGCGGCCUUCUGGACUGACACUGACGCUGAGGUGCGAAAGCGUGGGUAGCAAACAGGAUUAGAUACCCCAGUAGUC